ACGAACGCUGGCGGCAUGCCUAACACCUGCAAGUCGAACGAGACCUUCGGGUCUAGUGGCGCACGGGUGCGUAACGCGUGGGAACCUGCCCUUAGGUUCGGAAUAACUCCCCGAAAGGGGUGCUAGUACCGGAUAAUGUCUUCGGACCAAAGAUUUAUCGCCUUUGGAUGGGCCCGCGUUGGAUUAGCUAGUUGGUAGGGUAAAAGCCUACCAAGGCGACGAUCCAUAGCUGGUCUGAGAGGAUGAUCAGCCACACUGGGACUGAGACACGGCCCAGACUCCUACGGGAGGCAGCAGUGGGGAAUAUUGGACAAUGGGCGAAAGCCUGAUCCAGCAAUGCCGCGUGAGUGAUGAAGGCCUUAGGGUUGUAAAGCUCUUUUACCCGGGAUGAUAAUGACAGUACCGGGAGAAUAAGCUCCGGCUAACUCCGU
RNAcentral lists this ribosomal RNA (431 nucleotides) under uncultured bacterium. RNAcentral's name for it is "partial 16S ribosomal RNA". It matches the Rfam family "Bacterial small subunit ribosomal RNA", at positions 29 to 506 of the family's 1533-position model. The record is from RNAcentral.